UACGGAGGGUGCGAGCGUUGUCCGGAAUCAUUGGGCGUAAAGGGCGCGUAGGUGGCCCGGUCAGUCCGUGGUGAAAGCGCGGGGCUCAACCCUGCGUCGGCCAUGGAUACUGCCGCGGCUCGAGCACUGUAGAGGCAGGCGGAAUUCCGGGUGUAGCGGUGGAAUGCGUAGAGAUCCGGAAGAACACCGGUGGCGAAGGCGGUCUGCUGGGGUAAUGCUGACACUGAUGCGCGACAGCGUGGGGAGCAAACAGG
This 254-nucleotide ribosomal RNA is filed under the name uncultured bacterium. RNAcentral's name for it is "partial 16S ribosomal RNA". It matches the Rfam family "Bacterial small subunit ribosomal RNA", at positions 524 to 776 of the family's 1533-position model. The record is from RNAcentral.